GAUGAACGCUGACAGAAUGCUUAACACAUGCAAGUCGAUGGGGAAGUGGUGCUUGCCCCAUGGCAACCCUGGCGGACGGGUGAGUAACGCGUAAGGGACUUACCUGCAGGACUGGGAUAACAGGGGGAAACUCCUGACAAGACCGGAUAAUGUCAUGGAGCUGCAUGGCUUUAUGAUGAAAGGAGACGCCUGCGGAGAGCCUUGCGUCCUAUUAGCUAGUUGGUGAGGUAAUGGCUCACCAAGGCGAAGAUAGGUAGCCGGCCUGAGAGGGUGGACGGCCACAAGGGGACUGAGAUACGGCCCUUACUCCUACGGGAGGCAGCAGUGGGGAAUAUUGGACAAUGGGGGCAACCCUGAUCCAGCAAUUCUGUGUGCACGAAGAAGGUUUUCGGAUUGUAAAGUGCUUUCAGCAGGGAAGAAGUAAGUGACGGUACCUGCAGAAGAAGCGACGGCUAAAUACGUG
Molecule: ribosomal RNA, 463 nt
Filed under: uncultured bacterium
Lineage: Bacteria
Description: partial 16S ribosomal RNA
Rfam family: Bacterial small subunit ribosomal RNA
Source: RNAcentral